This 440-nucleotide ribosomal RNA is filed under the name uncultured bacterium. RNAcentral's name for it is "partial 16S ribosomal RNA". It matches the Rfam family "Bacterial small subunit ribosomal RNA", at positions 338 to 795 of the family's 1533-position model. The record is from RNAcentral.
CCUACGGGCGGCAGCAGUAGGGAAUAUUGCUCAAUGGGGGAAACCCUGAAGCAGCAACGCCGCGUGGAGGAUGAAGGUUUUCGGAUUGUAAACUCCUUUUGUUAGAGAAGAUAAUGACGGUAUCUAACGAAUAAGCACCGGCUAACUCCGUGCCAGCAGCCGCGGUAAUACGGAGGGUGCAAGCGUUACUCGGAAUCACUGGGCGUAAAGAGAGCGUAGGCGGGAUAGCAAGUCAGAUGUGAAAUCCUAUGGCUUAACCAUAGAACUGAAUUUGAAAAUGUUAUUCUAGAGUAUGGGAGAGGUAGGUGGAAUUCUUGGUGUAGGGGUAAAAUCCGUAGAGAUCAAGAGGAAUACUCAUUGCGAAGGCGACCUGCUAGAACAUAACUGACGCUGAUGCGCGAAAGCGUGGGGAGCAAACAGGAUUAGAUACCCGGGUAGUC